Molecule: ribosomal RNA, 372 nt
Filed under: uncultured organism
Description: bacterial SSU rRNA
Rfam family: Bacterial small subunit ribosomal RNA
Source: RNAcentral
CAGAGGUCCCAAGCGUUGUUCGGAUUCACUGGGCGUAAAGGGUGCGUAGGUGGUCGGGUAAGUCUGAUGUGAAAUCUCCGAGCUUAACUCGGAAAUGGCAUUGGAUACUAUUCGGCUAGAGGGUUUGAGGGGGGACUGGAAUACUUGGUGUAGCAGUGAAAUGCGUAGAUAUCAAGUGGAACACCAGUGGCGAAGGCGAGUCCCUGGAAAACUCCUGACACUGAGGCACGAAAGCUAGGGGAGCAAACAGGAUUAGAUACCCUGGUAGUCCUAGCUGUAAACGGUGCAUAUUUGCUGUAAAAGGAAUCGACCCCUUUUGUGGCGAAGCAAACGCGUUAAAUAUGCCGCCUGGGAAGUACGGUCGCAAGAUUA